CAUACACCAGUGGGGUCCCUCGGCCUGGCCUGCGCCCUCUCGCAAUCCGGGACCCCUCAGGGGAUGUCAGAGAGCCGGUUUUGGCCUGAUCCUGCAGGCCAGGCCGAGGGACCCCACUGGUGCAUG
RNAcentral lists this microRNA precursor (126 nucleotides) under Myotis brandtii (Brandt's bat). RNAcentral's name for it is "mir-9193 microRNA precursor family". It matches the Rfam family "mir-9193 microRNA precursor family". The record is from Rfam by way of RNAcentral. Lineage: Eukaryota; Metazoa; Chordata; Mammalia; Chiroptera; Vespertilionidae.